This is a non-coding RNA of Pelobates cultripes (western spadefoot toad), 920 nucleotides long. The record is from the annotation of a GenBank genome assembly. Lineage: Eukaryota; Metazoa; Chordata; Amphibia; Anura; Pelobatidae.
CACACUUUGUAAAUCAUACUGCAACUGCACAUCAGAGACAGGAGAGCAGGAGAGCAUGAACAUCAUGGCCCAUGUUUCCCUGUUGCUCUCUGUAAUAUUUAUAUGUAAGUAAUUUCAAUUUUCCUCCGUUACUGAAAACGAAACAAUAAGCAAUACAAUUUUUUCCUUUUGAUACUAGCACACUAUGACGACUUUAAGGGUCUACUCCAUAUUAACUGUGAAUAGUUUGUUAUUGUGGAAAUAUGGUAUGGGUAAUCCUAGAAAAGGGGGUUGAAAGGUGGCAACAUAAACUGUAUGGUACACUGAUUGUUCUAAGAUUUUACAAUAAUAUAGUUUGCUUUUUAGUCAGCAAUAUCAUAAUCAUAUCAGAUUCUAUAUAAACCUUACAUUGUGCGUCUAUGAGGCUUAUCUUCUUUUUGAUGUUUUUUUUCAUUCAGAUUGCACUUCAGGGGAAGAAGUCACCCAGACACCCAGUGAAGUAUCAAUUAAUGAAGGGAGCGAGACCGUGUUAUCUUGCAGCUAUGAUGUAGCUGCUUAUUCCAUGUUUUGGUACGUACAGAAACCUGGGAGUGCACCUCAACUUCUCCUUACUGACAUAACAAAUGUGGAGGACCUCAAUAAGGAAAUUAAAGGACGUUUCUUCCACAAACAUGACAAGACAAACAAACAAUUCCCCCUGAAUGUUACUAAAGCAAGACACUCUGACUCUGGGACAUAUUACUGCGUGCUGAGGCCCACACUGUACUCAGAGAAUAAAAAGGUUGUACAAUAACAUCACUGUACUGACAGAGAUGUUAAUCCACUAGAUGGCAGCGCUACUUGCCAAGAAUAAUCAAAGGAUGCCAUUUAAACAAGGGUAAUGUCUGUUUAUUCAUAAAAAAAAAAAGUAUAUUUAAAUUACAUAUGGAAUUCCAUAAAUC